This 74-nucleotide transfer RNA is filed under the name Salmonella enterica subsp. enterica serovar Dublin. RNAcentral describes it as "tRNA-Ile". It matches the Rfam family "tRNA". From Rfam's summary of the family: Transfer RNA (tRNA) molecules are approximately 80 nucleotides in length. Their secondary structure includes four short double-helical elements and three loops (D, anti-codon, and T loops). Further hydrogen bonds mediate the characteristic L-shaped molecular structure. tRNAs have two regions of fundamental functional importance: the anti-codon, which is responsible for specific mRNA codon recognition, and the 3' end, to which the tRNAs corresponding amino acid is attached (by aminoacyl-tRNA synthetases). tRNAs cope with the degeneracy of the genetic code in two manners: having more than one tRNA (with a specific anti-codon) for a particular amino acid; and 'wobble' base-pairing, i.e. permitting non-standard base-pairing at the 3rd anti-codon position. Lineage: Bacteria; Pseudomonadati; Pseudomonadota; Gammaproteobacteria; Enterobacterales; Enterobacteriaceae. The record is from RNAcentral.
AGGCUUGUAGCUCAGGUGGUUAGAGCGCACCCCUGAUAAGGGUGAGGUCGGUGGUUCAAGUCCACUCAGGACUA